CAGAGCGAACGUUAGCGGCGGGCCUAACACAUGCAAGUCGAGCGAGAAAGUGGCUUCGGCCAUCAGUAAAGCGGCGGACGGGUGAGUAACACGUAGGUAAUCUUCCCUUGAGCGGGGGACAACGAGCCGAAAGGCUCGCUAAUACCGCAUACGUUUCUCGGGACUCUGGUCCUGGGAAGGAAAGCUAGGCAGCAAUGUCCGGCACUCGAGGAGGAGCCUGCGUCGCAUCAGCUAGUUGGUGGGGUAACGGCCUACCAAGGCGAAGACGCGUAGCUGGUCUGAGAGGAUGAUCAGCCACACUGGGACUGAGACACGGCCCAGACUCCUACGGGAGGCAGCAGUGGGGAAUCUUGCGCAAUGGACGAAAGUCUGACGCAGCCACGCCGCGUGAGUGAAGAAGGCCUUCGGGUUGUAAAGCUCUGUCGCCCGGGACGAAUAUUUUUGAGGUUAACAGCCUCAGGAACUGACGGUACCGGGAGAGGAAGCACCGGCUAACUCCGUGCCAGCAGCCGCGGUAA
This 518-nucleotide ribosomal RNA is filed under the name uncultured delta proteobacterium. RNAcentral's name for it is "bacterial SSU rRNA". It matches the Rfam family "Bacterial small subunit ribosomal RNA", at positions 25 to 523 of the family's 1533-position model. The record is from RNAcentral. Lineage: Bacteria; Deltaproteobacteria.